UGUACGGCGGAAGCGCUGCUGGGGUUCUCCACUGGGCGCCGCCAUUAAGCGGCGGUGCCGGUGCCUCCCUAUGGCGCUGCCGGUGGAGGAAUGGCGGCGCUGCGCCGAGCGGUGCCGGGCAGCGCUAGGGCCGGUGCUGAGGGAACGGCUGGAGGCGGCGCCGCUGGGCGAGGCGCUGCGGUUGGGCUGCGGCCUCCUCAGGCCGGGAGCGGAGGAGGCGGCGGCCCUGCAGCGGCUGUGCCUCAGGGCGAGCACCGGCAAGGAGCCCGCGGCCGCUCGCUGGUACCGGCAGGAGGGGAACCGGCGGUUCGGCCGCGGGUGCUAUGGGGAUGCUGCGCUGCUCUACUCGCAGGCAGCGUCCCAUGAGCUCCCCGGCAGCCCCGAGGUGUCCCUGUGCUUCGCCAACCGCUCUGCAGCCCUCUUCCACCUCGGCCACUUUGAGGUUUGCUUGGAAGAUAUUGCCAGGGCUCAGAGUCAUGGCUAUCCGGACAGACUGCUGCCCAAGGUCUUGCUGCGGAAAGUGGAAUGCCUGCUGUGCCUGGGGAGGGUGCAGGAUGCUGCAGACGCCCUCGCUGCAGUGGAGAAUAAAAUUGCUGUGGAUGGGAUUAUGACUGGUGCUGAACACCAGACGCUGCUGAAAAAGUUAAAUCAAUUGAAGCUUAAAGUACGUGAGAGAGAGAGCUGUCCAGAGCCUGCACGAGAAGCGUGUGGUGAUGCUCAAAGAGAGUCAGAGAUCUGGGAAGAGAACGACAGUAUUUCGGGUGCGUCCUCAUCUUUGAGCUUGAAGUUCAAUGCAGAGAAAGGACGUCACUUGGUGGCCUCACAGGACAUCCUGCCGGGACAGAACCUGUUGAAAGAGGAGGCCUUUGUAAGCGUGCUCUGCCCAGAAGAAGGGGAGAGCCACCUGCUGCAGGACAGCAGUGAAAUGGUGUGGGAUGCUCAAGUCACUAAUGCAGAUCUGUAUUGCCACCGCUGUCUGAAGCAGCUUUUAGCCUCUGUGCCUUGCCGUGGGUGCAGUUAUGCGAAGUACUGCAGCCAAAACUGUGCAGAUACGGCGUGGGAGCAAUACCACAGGACAGAGUGCUCCUUGGGAGGGCUGCUCCUCACGUUAGGGGUCUUCUGCCACGUUGCUUUAAGGACUGUUCUACUGGCAGGAUUUUCAGAGGUUAGCAGGCUUGUGGAGCAGUCCCAUGAUGAUGAUGAUGAUCUUCCUAACACCAAGACAAGAUGUAAACAUCCCAGUGAGGCACCAGCUACAAGAACUGGAUCCAGAGCUAUCCCUGGUUGUAAUGAUAAUGGCCAGUACCAGAGUUCUUACCGAGCUGUGUUCAACCUCUUGCCACAUGCUGAGAAGCAUAGCCCUGAACACAAGUUCCUCUGCAUGCUGAGUGUAGUGGCUAUAUGCAGAAAACUGCAAGAAGCCGGUCUGGAGGCUGCUGUUCUGAAUCAGGAAUCAUCUGAGAAGGGAUCCGGACCGAAGGCAUGUGAAAAAACAUCUGAUGAGCUGUCUCCAGAGCUGCAGAUUAUGGCAGAAGCAAUGCUGAGGCAUGUGUUGCAGCUGCAAUGCAAUGCACAAGCGAUCACCGUAAUGCAGGAGUUGGGGUCUGGAGAUGGUGCUGUUGUAAAUAGGAAACCUGUGCGCCUGGCAACAGCCUUCUUCCCUGUCCUCAGCCUUCUGAACCAUUCGUGCAGCCCCAAUAUCAGUGUGUCAUUUAGUGGGACAGCUGCCACUGUCAGGGCCUCACAGCCAAUCUCAAGCGGCCAGGAGAUUUUCCAUUGCUAUGGGCCUCACCGAUGUAGAAUGAAGGUUGCUGAGAGACAACAGCUGCUCAGUCAGUAUUUCUUUGAGUGCCGCUGUCAGGCGUGCCUUGAGGAGUUAGAGUCUGACAACAAGAGUGUGGUGUCCAUGAGAAACUCAUUCUGCUGUCCUAGCUGCCAGGCUUCAAUGCAGGGGGAAGACGUGCUUUGUUGUUCAAAUGAAGCUUGUGCGCGCUCAGUCAGCAGAGAGAGCCUGUCACGGCAUUUACGAGACCUUCAGCGACAAAUCAAGCAAGCAUUAGAACUGCUAAGAGACAGCAAGGCUGAUGAGGCUAUCAAAAUGCUCCUAAAGUGUCAGAUGGAUGCUAGAAACUUCUUGUCACCGGAGCAUUUGCUGAUGGGAGAGAUGGAGGAUCAUCUGGCACAGGUCUAUGCUACUCUUGGAAAGUGGCAGGAAGCAGCCAGACACCUAGAGAAGAGCAUUCAGAUUGUGGAAAUGCAUCACGGGCCAUCAAGUGUAGAAAUGGGUCAUGAACUCUUCAAACUGGCACAAAUUCUCUUCAAUGGAUUUGCAGUUUCGGAAGCUCUGAGCACAAUUCAAAGAGCAGAGAAGAUUUUGACAGUGCACUGUGGUCCUCAGAGCACUCAGAUCCGGGAACUACGAGAGAUGAAGACCUGUCUGUUAGAGCUUCCCAGAAGCAUUCUUCAGAGGACUUAAUUUCCCUAUCAAAGGAAGCUGCAAUGUGAUCUUUCAUCAAAGCUAAGUUUUGUGUGGGCUUCUACGAAACAGCACCCAUGAGCUCAGACCUCUCUGUGCCUGCUCCAUCCCACAGCACCACUUCCGAGGCAUCCUGCGACCACCAGCCCUCGAGGAGUUGCAUAUCGCCAAAAUUGCUACCAUUGCAAAGAAAAAGCCUCUUCCCAGCUGCAGCACAGGUACCAGAAAGGCAGAAAAGGGGAAAAAAUUCCCCAGUCACCAAGCACACAUCAACCCCGGUGGCAAAGAGGUGCCCUGGGAUGCUGCUGGCUGCCAACCCUCGCUGCCAUCGCUCACCUACCUGGUGGGCGCCGCGCCUUUUCACACCUGCAGCAGCACCGUUCAUUUUCCAUUCCCCAGCUCCCCAAGAGCUCCCCAGCAUCACCCCUGCACCCUUCACACCCCUGGCACUCCCUGGCCGCUGGCUGCCGACACAGGUCAGCGCCAGCAGCCCGAGCUGCCCCUUACCUCGGGCUCCUCUCGGCCGCCGCUGCAGCAGCUUCCCAGCGGGUGCGAGCCGGGGCCAGUGUGAGCUCAACGCAGCCACAUCUGCUUUUUGCUGCCUCCCCAGCCCAGCCUUCGGCUGGCUUCAGGUUACAGCUUCCCAGGGUGCUCUUAAAGUGCUCUGCUCCAAUUUUCUCUUGCUGUGAUCCUCUGGCUGGGCUGUGCGCGCUUGUGAACCUUCGCCUCCAAAGCCAAUGUGCGCUCUGUGAUAAGGGCAGUCCAGCGGCUAAAACAGGACCCAGCCAAACGUUCAGCCUUGUUCUUCCCUGCGGCGUUUGAGCAAGCCUUUUAUCCCCUCAGUUCUGCCCCAUGUCACAUGAGAGACUUUCUCCCAUCUCGGAGGUACCGUUAUUGCAGCGGUGUUUGAAGAUUUAAUGGAGAGGCUGCUAAAGUGGAAGCAGGAUCCAGUUUAAAGCAGUUAAGGGGAAGAUAUUCAGAAGUGGUUCUAUCCAUUGAUAGUUACUAGUUAACAAGUUGUUAACAUAAGUGGCUGGAAGUUUUUUUGGCCAUAAAAAAGGAAAAAGAAUGAAGAGAAUGUUGUCGGACCUUAUAGAACAAUAAGUGGUCUGGAGAAGGGAAGGGGCACAGGGUAAUUGUUAUUUUUCAUAGUAGAAGAGUCAUGGGGAACACUCAUCAGUAUCCACGUAUCUGCCUAUUUAAAACACCAGUGCGUUUUCCAGAAGUAUUAAGUUGUAAAGCUUACAGUAACUAGAUAUUGCAGAAGAUGGAAGACAUGGAUUUAAAAAAAAAAUAGUGGAAGACAAGUCCACUGCAUGCUGACGGCGGUCAGAUAUAAUAUCGAACUGAGCAGCUGAGAGAUGCAACGAGAGCAGUUGUUUUUCUCUGUCCCUACUUACACGUUCUUAGUGGUUUUCUGAUUUUUUUUCCCCCAGUCAUUUGUUACUGGGAGAGACAGAAUACUGGGCUGAACUGACACGUAGCUGGCCCGAGCCACUCCAGCUGUUUGUCUACUUGGAAAUGCUGGAAGUAAACCAUGGCCAAUAAUAUCAGUGCCCACAGUUUAGGUUUUUAUUGAGACAUCUUUUGGGGCUGCCAGCCUUGCUGCAAACAGGUAAUGAGGAAUUACUCAUGCCUGCUUGCACUGGACUUAUACAAUCCCUCAGAUAAUAGGAAAGGACGGUUUUGGAGAAGCAUUGGCAGCUGUUUCUGCAAGCAGAAAAA
RNA transcript from Anas platyrhynchos (mallard), 4201 nucleotides. It is a transcript of the gene named SET and MYND domain containing 4, with no coding region annotated. Lineage: Eukaryota; Metazoa; Chordata; Aves; Anseriformes; Anatidae. The record is from RefSeq and is a predicted model, not a curated record.